This 404-nucleotide ribosomal RNA is filed under the name Actinomycetes bacterium. Its description in RNAcentral is "Actinobacteria bacterium partial 16S ribosomal RNA". It matches the Rfam family "Bacterial small subunit ribosomal RNA", at positions 355 to 776 of the family's 1533-position model. The record is from RNAcentral. Lineage: Bacteria; Bacillati; Actinomycetota; Actinomycetes.
UGGGGAAUAUUGGACAAUGGGCGCAAGCCUGAUCCAGCCAUGCCGCGUGAGUGAUGAAGGCCCUAGGGUUGUAAAGCUCUUUCUCCGGUGAAGAUAAUGACGGUAACCGGAGAAGAAGCCCCGGCUAACUUCGUGCCAGCAGCCGCGGUAAUACGAAGGGGGCUAGCGUUGUUCGGAUUUACUGGGCGUAAAGCGCACGUAGGCGGACUUUUAAGUCAGGGGUGAAAUCCCGGGGCUCAACCCCGGAACUGCCUUUGAUACUGGAAGUCUUGAGUAUGGUAGAGGUGAGUGGAAUUCCGAGUGUAGAGGUGAAAUUCGUAGAUAUUCGGAGGAACACCAGUGGCGAAGGCGGCUCACUGGACCAUUACUGACGCUGAGGUGCGAAAGCGUGGGGAGCAAACAGG